AAUAGCACCAUUUGUAUGGGAACCAAGCGUGCCGACUUUUUAGCUGUCACUGAGACGUCACGGUCGGCAUUUAGUGAUGGGAAAACCUAAACGAUUCAAAGACACCAAUGCCCCUCCGCCCCGCAACAAUGCAGCCGUCUCUCUCGUACACAUAGAUUUUAUAUCUGUGGGCUCGCUCCCUCACUCCCCGCUCCCCUGCAAACUAUCCCAAAAAUCGAGUAGUAUGACAAAAAGAUUCAAAGAGGGAGGUCACGCUAUUAAGCGGUUUCAUUCUGUCCACGCUUUUGGAUACCUUCGCGUAAUAUUAAUAUCAAGCUAUGGAAACAGCAAAGUCUCAAAAGAAAACCAGGGAAGACAUUUUUGAAGCCAAAAGAAAAGCUAGCCGAAUACGUCAUGAAAAACCAGUUUUUCCUUCCCGUGGCUGCAAUCCAUUUUUCUUUUACGACCGGAUCAUGUGGGAAACUAUAAGAAAGAGUGUUUUUAAACGUUAUACUUAUGUUGUAUAUGAUUAAAAUUAUAAUAUUUUCACCACACCAACUGAUAAAAACUUGAUUAUUUGAAAACGGAUAGCAAAAAUUUCAUUUUAUCCACAAGAGUGCAAAGUAUUUAAAAAAAAAUGUAACUUGAUGUCAUAAGCUAGCUGGUAGAAUUGACUAAUAUGUAAAUGAUAAUUUUGAAUCAUACAUAUUGAAUAAAUUGAUGGAUUUUAUUUAAGUAAUUUGAUAUUUCAUAGUG
This 735-nucleotide long non-coding RNA is filed under the name Leguminivora glycinivorella. RNAcentral's name for it is "uncharacterized LOC125236059". Lineage: Eukaryota; Metazoa; Arthropoda; Insecta; Lepidoptera; Tortricidae. The record is from RNAcentral.